CCUACGGGAGGCAGCAGUGAGGAAUAUUGGUCAAUGGACGAGAGUCUGAACCAGCCAAGUAGCGUGAAGGAUGACUGCCCUAUGGGUUGUAAACUUCUUUUAUAAAGGAAUAAAACGAGGCACGUGUGCCUUUUUGCAUGUACUUUAUGAAUAAGGAUCGGCUAACUCCGUGCCAGCAGCCGCGGUAAUACGGAGGAUCCGAGCGUUAUCCGGAUUUAUUGGGUUUAAAGGGAGCGUAGAUGGGUUGUUAAGUCAGUUGUGAAAGUUUGCGGCUCAACCGUAAAAUUGCAAUUGAUACUGGCAGUCUUGAGUACAGUUGAGGUAGGCAGAAUUCGUGGUGUAGCGGUGAAAUGCUUAGAGAUCACGAAGAACCCCGAUUGCGAAGGCAGCUUACUAAACUGUGACUGACAUUGAUGCUCGAAAGUGUGGGUAGCAAACAGGAUUAGAUACCCUUGUAGUC
RNAcentral lists this ribosomal RNA (460 nucleotides) under uncultured bacterium. RNAcentral's name for it is "partial 16S ribosomal RNA". It matches the Rfam family "Bacterial small subunit ribosomal RNA", at positions 338 to 795 of the family's 1533-position model. The record is from RNAcentral.